Molecule: ribosomal RNA, 727 nt
Filed under: Pseudomonas sp.
Lineage: Bacteria; Pseudomonadati; Pseudomonadota; Gammaproteobacteria; Pseudomonadales; Pseudomonadaceae
Description: bacterial SSU rRNA
Rfam family: Bacterial small subunit ribosomal RNA
Source: RNAcentral
AUUGAACGCUGGCGGCAGGCCUAACACAUGCAAGUCGAGCGGAUGACGGGAGCUUGCUCCUUGAUUCAGCGGCGGACGGGUGAGUAAUGCCUAGGAAUCUGCCUGGUAGUGGGGGACAACGUUUCGAAAGGAACGCUAAUACCGCAUACGUCCUACGGGAGAAAGCAGGGGACCUUCGGGCCUUGCGCUAUCAGAUGAGCCUAGGUCGGAUUAGCUAGUUGGUGGGGUAAUGGCUCACCAAGGCGACGAUCCGUAACUGGUCUGAGAGGAUGAUCAGUCACACUGGAACUGAGACACGGUCCAGACUCCUACGGGAGGCAGCAGUGGGGAAUAUUGGACAAUGGGCGAAAGCCUGAUCCAGCCAUGCCGCGUGUGUGAAGAAGGUCUUCGGAUUGUAAAGCACUUUAAGUUGGGAGGAAGGGCAGUAAGUUAAUACCUUGCUGUUUUGACGUUACCGACAGAAUAAGCACCGGCUAACUCUGUGCCAGCAGCCGCGGUAAUACAGAGGGUGCAAGCGUUAAUCGGAAUUACUGGGCGUAAAGCGCGCGUAGGUGGUUUGUUAAGUUGGAUGUGAAAGCCCCGGGCUCAACCUGGGAACUGCAUCCAAAACUGGCAAGCUAGAGUACGGUAGAGGGUGGUGGAAUUUCCUGUGUAGCGGUGAAAUGCGUAGAUAUAGGAAGGAACACCAGUGGCGAAGGCGACCACCUGGACUGAUACUGACACUGAG